RNAcentral lists this ribosomal RNA (491 nucleotides) under Triatoma matogrossensis. RNAcentral's name for it is "SSU rRNA". It matches the Rfam family "Eukaryotic small subunit ribosomal RNA", at positions 590 to 999 of the family's 1831-position model. Lineage: Eukaryota; Metazoa; Arthropoda; Insecta; Hemiptera; Reduviidae. The record is from RNAcentral.
UCCAAUAGCGUAUAUUAAAGUUGUUGCGGUUAAAAAGCUCGUAGUUGGUUCUGCGUGCCGCGCUGUCGGUUCGCCGCCUGUCGGUGUAACUGGCAUGUCGCGGCAUGUCCUGUCGGUGGUGAACGGAGUCCACGACGCUACAUGGGCUUUAUAGUCGAUGUUAGCAUCGUGUGUACUUCCGUUGGCCGAUCUCUCCUACUUCGGUGCUCUUAAACGAGUGUCGAGGUAGGCCGACACGUUCACUUUGAACAAAUUAGAGUGCUUAAAGCAGGCUGAAAUAUCUGCCUGAAUAGUGGUGCAUGGAAUGAUAAAACAGGACCUCGGUUCUAUUUUGUUGGUUUUAGGAAUAUGAGGUAAUGAUCAAUGUGGACUGGCGGGGGCAUUCGUAUUGCGACGUUAGAGGUGAAAUUCUUGGAUCGUCGCAAGACGCACUAGAGCGAAAGCAUUUGCCAAGUAUGUCUUAAUUGAUCAAGAACGAAAGUUAGAGGUUC